GACGAACGCUGGCGGCGUGCUUAACACAUGCAAGUCGAACGGAAAGGCCCUGCUUGCAGGGUACUCGAGUGGCGAACGGGUGAGUAACACGUGGGUGAUCUGCCCUGCACUUCGGGAUAAGCCUGGGAAACUGGGUCUAAUACCGGAUAGGAGCCAUUUUUAGUGUGAUGGUUGGAAAGUUUUUUCGGUGUAGGAUGAGCUCGCGGCCUAUCAGCUUGUUGGUGGGGUAAUGGCCUACCAAGGCGGCGACGGGUAGCCGGCCUGAGAGGGUGGACGGCCACAUUGGGACUGAGAUACGGCCCAGACUCCUACGGGAGGCGGCAGUGGGGAAUAUUGCACAAUGGGCGCAAGCCUGAUGCAGCGACGCCGCGUGGGGGAUGACGGCCUUCGGGUUGUAAACUCCUUUCGCUAGGGACGAAGCUUUUUGUGACGGUACCUAGAGAAGAAGCACCGGCUAACUACGUG
Molecule: ribosomal RNA, 465 nt
Filed under: uncultured bacterium
Lineage: Bacteria
Description: partial 16S ribosomal RNA
Rfam family: Bacterial small subunit ribosomal RNA
Source: RNAcentral